GAUGAACGCUGGCGGCGUGCCUAAUACAUGCAAGUCGAGCGAAGGGUCUAGGGGCUUUCCUCUCUGAAAAUAUCGGGGGGCGGGUGUGUAUCACAUGGAAAAACCCCCUCUCAUACUGGGGGAACAUCAUUGGAAAGGAUAUAAUAUAGCAGAAUAUAUUAAAUCUCGCGUGACAAAAGUUUAAGAGGUUGUUAUUGUAACAUAUAGAUGUAUUUGCGCUGCAUUAGCUAGUUGGUGGGGUAAAGGCCCACCAAGGCGACGAUGCAUAGCCGACCUGAGAGGGUGAUCGGCCACACUGGGACUGAGACACGGCCCAGACUCCUACGGGAGGCAGCAGUAGGGAAUCUUCCGCAAUGGGCGAAAGCCUGACGGAGCAACGCCGCGUGAGUGAAGAAGGAUUUCGGUUCGUAAAGCUCUGUUGUUAGGGAAGAAUGGAUAUGUAGUAACUAUACAUGUAAGAGACGGUACCUAACCAGAAAGCCACGGCUAACUACGUG
RNAcentral lists this ribosomal RNA (497 nucleotides) under uncultured bacterium. RNAcentral's name for it is "partial 16S ribosomal RNA". It matches the Rfam family "Bacterial small subunit ribosomal RNA", at positions 28 to 507 of the family's 1533-position model. The record is from RNAcentral.